RNAcentral lists this ribosomal RNA (331 nucleotides) under uncultured soil bacterium. Its description in RNAcentral is "bacterial SSU rRNA". It matches the Rfam family "Bacterial small subunit ribosomal RNA", at positions 26 to 353 of the family's 1533-position model. The record is from RNAcentral.
AGAGUGAACGCUGGCGGUAGGCCUAACACAUGCAAGUCGAACGGCAGCACAGUGGUAGCAAUACCAUGGGUGGCGAGUGGCGGACGGGUGAGGAAUACAUCGGAAUCUACCUUUUGGUGGGGGAUAACGUAGGGAAACUUACGCUAAUACCGCAUACGCCCUUCGGGGGAAAGCCGGGGACCUUCGGGCCUGGCGCUGAUAGAUGAGCCGAUGUCGGAUUAGCUAGUUGGUGAGGUAAUGGCUCACCAAGGCGCGAUCCAUAGCUGGUCUGAGAGGAUGAUCAGCCACACUGGAACUGAGACACGGUCCAGACCUCCUACGGGGAGCAGCA